UUUAUUUAUUUGAGAGCAAGCGUGACCCAGUGGAGGGAGGAGCAGAGGGAGAGGGACAAGCAGACUGCUAGCUAAAUGGGGAGCCUGGCACAGGGCUGAAUCUCACAACCCCAAAAUCAUGACCUGAGCCAAAAUCAAGAGUUGAAUGCUCAGCGCAAAUGAGCCACCCAGGCACCACCCCCCUCCCCCAACCUUAACAGAUUUCAAGUGUAAGAUAUGGUAUGUUAAUCAAUAGACACAAUGUUGAAAAAAAAUAGGCACAAUGUUGUACAGCAGAUUUCUAGUAUUCAUCCAUCUUGCCUAGGUGAAAUUUUAUGACCAUUGAUAACAACUACUUUCCCUCCCUUCUCAUCCUUUGGCAAUUAUAAUUUUAUACAUUGCUUCUAUAAGUUUGACUAUUUUAGUUACCAUGCAUUAAAUGGAAUCGUACAAUUUGUGUCUUGUGACUGACUUGUUUCACUUAGCAUAAUGUUCUCCUUUCAUCAAUGUUCUCACAUAUUGCAGGAUUUCCUUUUUUUAAAGGCUAAAUAGUACUCCAUUGUAUGAAUAUACCAUAAUUUCUUUAUCCAUUCAUCAGCAGAUGGACGGACACUUGGGUUCCUUCCAUCUUUAGCUAUUGUGAAGAAUACUGCUGUGUGGAUGAGUGUACAAAUUUCUCUUUGAGAUCCUGCUUUCAGUUCCUUUGGGCACAUAUCCAGAAGUGGAAUUAGUAGGUCAUAAGCUAAUUGUUUAAAAAAAUUUUUUUAAGGUUUUAUUUAUUUGAGAGAGAGAGUGAACAGGGGAAAGGACAGAGGAAGAGAGACAAGCAGGCUCCAAGCUCAGCAGGGAACCCAACCUCAGCUGGAUCCCAGAACUCUGGGAUCAUGACCUGAGCCAAAGACAGAUGCUUAACCCACUAAGCCACCCAGGUGCACCCAGCUAAUUCUGUUUUUAUGAGGAACUGCCAUUCUGGUUUUCAUGGUGACUGCACUAUUUUACAUUCCCAUCAGCAUUGCACAAGGUUUCAAUUUCUCAACAUCGUCACCAAUACUUGUUAUGUUGUGGGUUUGUUUUUUUUUUAAUUGCCAUCCUAAUGAGUGUGAAGUGGCACACAGUUUUGGUUACUAUAGCUUUAUAGUAAAUUUAAAAAUUAGAGUCACUUAGGUAGUUUCUCAUCUGUUUUUGCACCUGUGCCACCUUGUAAAGUGCACAGACCUGCACCAUCAUGGAAGUGCUAUACCUGUCAGAGGUUGCCAGAUCUCCCUCUCUAAAAGUACAGUAUCCCUAGUAGAGCAAGUCACCUGGGUUUCACAUUUGUAACCUAGGCUGAAUUGAGAGCCAGUGAUCCUGGGUCUGAUUUUGCUUACAGUGUUACAGCUAACCAUUUAAUAGUUUUGGAAAAAACAAAACAGUACAUGCCUAUUCAGAGAUGAAAUUAGUUGGUAAAGCUAACUUCCAUACAAAGACUUAGGAAAGAAGGGGAGCAAUUGGUCAUUACUGUGCUUUGGGGCAGCUGGCUUCAGUGUAAGGUUGGCUUUAGGGCCCUGGAAUGAAAUGCUUAAUUUGAGGAGUAUUUAAAAUACUUUGAAUCUCCUGGAAUUCAUUCUUAUCUUGACACUCCACUAAAAGUGUCUUUCUUGCCACUGAUUAUAUGAUCUGGGGCAAAUCACUCUGAUCCUGGAGUUCAGUUUCUUCAUCUGUAAAAUAAGCAGGAUGAAAUAUGUUCUAAGUUCUCUCUUUGCUGAAAAUUAUUUUAUUCUGUCCUGUGAGUUGAAAUUAUAUUUCAGAUUUGAGGAUAAGGUAUGCUACUUGGUUAAGGUGAAGAAACUACCAGGAUAAGACCUAGGGCUAGCAUCCACCAAACGGACUGAUACCUCUUCCCUCAUCAGCAAGAGUAGUAGAAAAUUAAUAUCGAAGGAGUUUACAAACUCAGGCUUAAUUUGGAGAAGACUCAGUAGUAGGAAUUUUCAGGUAAUGAUUUUGGGUGUUAAGCUUAUUACAGCAGGAUUACACCAGCAGUUGGCACUUCAAUGGAUAGGACUCUUGCAAAACUAAUCAGGAGUACUAGUGGGGAAAUUUAGAUGAAACAUAAUUUUCUAGAAAAUAGAAAUUACCAAAAUUGACUCAAAGAAAUAGAAGGCCUGAAUAAACUAACAAGCAUUGAAGAAGUUGAAUUAGUAAUCCCUAAUUUUCCAAACAACUGUGAAGGACUUUUUUUUUUAUUAUUGGAGUUCAAUUUGCCAACAUAUAACAUAACAUCCAGUGCUCAACCUGUCAAGUGCCCCCCUCAGUGCCCAUCACCCAGUCACCCCAACCCCCCACCCAACCUCCCUUUCCACCACUCCUUGUUCAUUUCCCAGAGUUAGGAGUCUCUCAUGUUCUGUCACCCUCACUGAUAUUUCCCAUUCAUUUUCUCUGCUUUCCCCUUUAUUCCCUUUCACUAUUUUUUAUAUUCCCGAAAUGAAAUGAGACCAUAUAAUGUUUGUCCUUCUCGGAUUGACUUACUUCACUCAGCAUAAUACCUUCCAGUUCCAUCCAUGUUGAAGCAAAUGGUGGGUAUUUGUCAUUUCUAAUGAUUGAGUAAUAUUCCAUUGUAUAUAUAGACCACAUCUUUAUCUAUUCAUCUUUCAAUGGACAGCAAGACUCUGUGAAGGACAUUUUGACAUAACUAAAUGGGAAAUUUGAUAAUGGUCUAGAUAUUAGGUGAAAUCAAGGAACUACAUUUAAUUUUGAUAGACACCUAAUAAUGAAUAAUGAAGAUAAAGAUAAUGAAAUUGUGGUUAUGCAAGAAAAUGUUCUUAGUUUUUUAGGUAUAAUGAGUGAAACAAAUGUGCCAAAAUCUUCAUUAUUGCAUCUAAGUGAGAGGUAUAUGGGGAUUUUUGAGCUAUGUUCAAAAUUUCAAAAUUUCAGUUUCUUUGAAAUUACUCAUAAUAAUACCAGUAAGAACAAAUAUAGUCUUCCUUUCCAAAAACACAAGUUCCACAUUGUCUCAUAGGCACAUUUUACCAGACCCUUAAGGAUCAAUAAUCUUUUCUCAAUCAAAAUAUUUUAGAGA
This 3034-nucleotide long non-coding RNA is filed under the name Canis lupus familiaris (dog). Its description in RNAcentral is "lncRNA (ENSCAFG00845019830.1)". The record is from RNAcentral. Lineage: Eukaryota; Metazoa; Chordata; Mammalia; Carnivora; Canidae.